GCGAAUACCGGAGAAUGUUAUCACGGGAGACACACGGCGGGUGCUAACGUCCGUCGUGAAGAGGGAAACAACCCAGACCGCCAGCUAAGGUCCCAAAGUCAUGGUUAAGUGGGAAACGAUGUGGGAAGGCCCAGACAGCCAGGAUGUUGGCUUAGAAGCAGCCAUCAUUUAAAGAAAGCGUAAUAGCUCACUGGUCGAGUCGGCCUGCGCGGAAGAUGUAACGGGGCUAAACCAUGCACCGAAGCUGCGGCAGCGAACGUAUCACUUAAAGCGAUUCAGCGGGUUACGAUUGACGGAGCGAAGCGACGUCAAAGCGUAUACAAAGUCGAGUCGGUUUAAGGAUACGUUCGUUGGGUAGGGGAGCGUUCUGUAAGCCUGCGAAGGUGGCCUGUGAGGGUUGCUGGAGGUAUCAGAAGUGCGAAUGCUGACAUAAGUAACGAUAAAGCGGGUGAAAAGCCCGCUCGCCGGAAGACCAAGGGUUCCUGUCCAACGUUAAUCGGGGCAGGGUGAGUCGACCCCUAAGGCGAGGCCGAAAGGCGUAGUCGAUGGGAAACGGGUUAAUAUUCCCGUACUUGGUGUUACUGCGAAGGGGGGACGGAGAAGGCUAUGUUGGCCGGGCGACGGUUGUCCCGGUUUAAGCGUGUAGGUGUGUGUUCCAGGUAAAUCCGGUUCACUUUAACACUGAGGCGUGACGACGAGGCACUACGGUGCUGAAGCAACAAAUGCCCUGCUUCCAGGAAAAGCCUCUAAGCAUCAGGUAACAUCAAAUCGUACCCCAAACCGACACAGGUGGUCAGGUAGAGAAUACCAAGGCGCUUGAGAGAACUCGGGUGAAGGAACUAGGCAAAAUGGUGCCGUAACUUCGGGAGAAGGCACGCUGACACGUAGGUGAAGUGAUUUACUCAUGGAGCUGAAGUCAGUCGAAGAUACCAGCUGGCUGCAACUGUUUAUUAAAAACACAGCACUGUGC
RNAcentral lists this ribosomal RNA (970 nucleotides) under Salmonella enterica subsp. enterica serovar Agona. RNAcentral describes it as "partial 23S ribosomal RNA". It matches the Rfam family "Bacterial large subunit ribosomal RNA", at positions 956 to 1826 of the family's 2925-position model. Lineage: Bacteria; Pseudomonadati; Pseudomonadota; Gammaproteobacteria; Enterobacterales; Enterobacteriaceae. The record is from RNAcentral.